ACGGAAGGCAGCAGUGGGGAAUAUUGCACAAUGGGGGAAACCCUGAUGCAGCGACGCCGCGUGAAGGAUUUACGUAUUUCGGUAUGUAAACUUCUAUCAGCAGGGAAGAUAAUGACGGUACCUGACUAAGAAGCCCCGGCUAACUACGUGCCAGCAGCCGCGGUAAUACGUAGGGGGCAAGCGUUAUCCGGAUUUACUGGGUGUAAAGGGAGCGUAGGCGGCUGAGUAAGUCAGAAGUGAAAGCCCGGGGCUCAACCCCGGGACGGCUUUUGAAACUGCCCGGCGUGAUUUCAGGAGAGGAAAGCGGAAUUCCUAGUGUAGCGGUGAAAUGCGUAGAUAUGAGGAGGAACACCAGUGGCGAAGACGGCUUUCUGGACUGACAAUGACGCUGAGGCUCGAAAGCGUGGGGAGCAAACAGGAUUAGAUACCCUGGUA
RNAcentral lists this ribosomal RNA (435 nucleotides) under uncultured Coprococcus sp. RNAcentral describes it as "partial 16S ribosomal RNA". It matches the Rfam family "Bacterial small subunit ribosomal RNA", at positions 341 to 792 of the family's 1533-position model. Lineage: Bacteria; Bacillati; Bacillota; Clostridia; Lachnospirales; Lachnospiraceae. The record is from RNAcentral.